This is a non-coding RNA of Erythranthe guttata (spotted monkey flower), 552 nucleotides long. The record is from RefSeq and is a predicted model, not a curated record. NCBI's taxonomy places the organism in Eukaryota, Viridiplantae, Streptophyta, Magnoliopsida, Lamiales, Phrymaceae.
CUUUUAAAUUAGAAAAAAAAAAAAAAAUUAGUUUGUCAUAACUGCAUAACGAGGAAGAUUACUGAAGAGGGGUUACAUAGUUGUCCAGUAUGCAAUGCUCAUCUUGGUUCUGCUCCACUUCAAAGGCUCAGGAUGGACCAUCGUUGGCAAAGCAUGAUGAACAAUUUCAACAAUGAAGGAAGAAGAGAACAACAUGCAGGAAGUGGACUAAAUGUGGAGAUUACUCUGCAAGGACGAAGAUUGCUACCUAGUUUGCAAAUAAGUCGAUUGAUCGAACUGUGGCUGCAAACGUUUUCUACCUCAGAAAGGAAAACGGCAAUUGUCGAUCGGUUCGUCCGCACAGGAGUUUGUCCUGCCUCUUACAUAUGCUCGUAAUUAACCUGCUUUUUAAUUUCUCCUUAAAUAAAUUAUGACUAUUAGAAUCUUAAUUUCGAUUAUUGUUAAACUAGCCUUUUCUGCACAAUUAUCGUACUUUUUAAGACCUUAAUUAUUUAAUUAGCAGAUUUGCUACCAAACCUUGGUUUAAUUUCUAUAAUAUACUUUAUUGUGACA